This 253-nucleotide ribosomal RNA is filed under the name uncultured bacterium. Its description in RNAcentral is "partial 16S ribosomal RNA". It matches the Rfam family "Bacterial small subunit ribosomal RNA", at positions 524 to 776 of the family's 1533-position model. The record is from RNAcentral.
UACGUAGGGUCCGAGCGUUGUCCGGAAUUACUGGGCGUAAAGAGCUCGUAGGUGGUUUGUCGCGUUGUUCGUGAAAACUCACAGCUCAACUGUGGGCGUGCGGGCGAUACGGGCAGACUAGAGUACUGCAGGGGAGACUGGAAUUCCUGGUGUAGCGGUGGAAUGCGCAGAUAUCAGGAGGAACACCGGUGGCGAAGGCGGGUCUCUGGGACGGUACUGACGCUGAGACGCGAAAGCGUGGGGAGCGAACAGG